This is a non-coding RNA of Marasmius sp. AFHP31, 90 nucleotides long. The record is from the annotation of a GenBank genome assembly. Lineage: Eukaryota; Fungi; Basidiomycota; Agaricomycetes; Agaricales; Marasmiaceae.
UCCCUGGUAGUAUAUCGGUUAGUACACGCGCCUGUCAUGAUCGAGCGGCAAUGAACGCGCGAAAGCUGGGUUCGACUCCCAGCCAGGGAG